AUUCCAGCUCCAAUAGCGUAUACUAAAGUUGUUGCAGUUAAAAAGCUCGUAGUUGAAUUUCUGGUCUCGGACAGCGGUCUGCCUCAAACGAGGUACGCACCACCUGUUCAGGUCCAUCCUCGGAGAAAACAUGCCUGUGAUUCAGUUCAUGGGUAUGGGAUCUUCGUCAUUUACUGUGAGCAAAAUAUAGUGUUCAAAGCAGGCUUAUGCCGUUGAAUACAUUAGCAUGGAAUAAUAAAAUAAGACCUUGGUCUAUUUUGUUGGUUUGUACUCCAAGGUAAUGAUAAAUAGGGAUAGUUGGGGGUAUUCGUAUUCAAUUGUCAGAGGUGAAAUUCUUGGAUUUAUGGAAGACGAACUACUGCGAAAGCAUUUACCAAGGAUGUUUUCAUCA
Molecule: ribosomal RNA, 391 nt
Filed under: Chrysophyceae sp.
Lineage: Eukaryota; Chrysophyceae
Description: partial small subunit ribosomal RNA
Rfam family: Eukaryotic small subunit ribosomal RNA
Source: RNAcentral